AAAGGAUUGCCCUAGUACGGCGAGUGAAGCGGCAACAGCUCAAAUUUGAAAGCUAGCCUUCGGGUUCGCAUUGUAAUUUGUAGAGGAUGAUUUGGGGAAGCCGCCUGUCUAAGUUCCUUGGAACAGGACGUCAUAGAGGGUGAGAAUCCCGUAUGUGACAGGAAAUGGCACCCUAUGUAAAUCUCCUUCGACGAGUCGAGUUGUUUGGGAAUGCAGCUCUAAAUGGGAGGUAAAUUUCUUCUAAAGCUAAAUAUUGGCGAGAGACCGAUAGCGCACAAGUAGAGUGAUCGAAAGAUGAAAAGCACUUUGGAAAGAGAGUUAAAAAGCACGUGAAAUUGUUGAAAGGGAAGCGCUUGCAAUCAGACUUGUUUAAACUGUUCGGCCGGUCUUCUGACCGGUUUACUCAGUUUGGACAGGCCAGCAUCAGUUUCGGCGGCCGGAUAAAGGCUCUGGGAAUGUGGCCUCCACUUCGGUGGAGGUGUUAUAGCCCAGGGUGUAAUACGGCCAGCCGGGACUGAGGUCCGCGCUUCGGCUAGGAUGCUGGCGUAAUGGUUGUAAGCGACCCGUCUUGAAACACGGACCAA
This 584-nucleotide ribosomal RNA is filed under the name Aureobasidium pullulans. Its description in RNAcentral is "partial large subunit ribosomal RNA". It matches the Rfam family "Eukaryotic large subunit ribosomal RNA", at positions 69 to 669 of the family's 3401-position model. The record is from RNAcentral. Lineage: Eukaryota; Fungi; Ascomycota; Dothideomycetes; Dothideales; Saccotheciaceae.